RNAcentral lists this transfer-messenger RNA (359 nucleotides) under Marinicauda algicola. RNAcentral's name for it is "Alphaproteobacteria transfer-messenger RNA". It matches the Rfam family "Alphaproteobacteria transfer-messenger RNA". Rfam says of the family: Bacterial tmRNA, also known as 10Sa RNA or SsrA, is named for its dual tRNA and mRNA-like properties. The record is from Rfam by way of RNAcentral. Lineage: Bacteria; Pseudomonadati; Pseudomonadota; Alphaproteobacteria; Maricaulales; Maricaulaceae.
UCCCUUUCAUCCUCGCGCCAACGCGCCUAUAUUGGGAGCGUUCCCUUCGGGGAACUAUGGCGAUAAACGCGCGUGCAAUAACCAGACCGGACCCGGGUGCGAACCCCGGCGGCUCCACCAAAUCCUCUCGCUCGUUGGGCGGGUCUUGCGGGGCCGAAUUAGGAUCGACGGAUGGCUAAAGACGUUGCUUUCGCCCGAAUGGGCUCCGUCAAAAGCCCGUAAACAGUAGUUGCCAACGACAACUCUGCUGAAGAGUUCGCCCUCGCUGCGUAAGCGGCGCGAGCAACUCGCUUCUUAAGUCCUGUCCUCUAGCAAGGUCAGGCGGGGUUCGGGGGCGCCUGGCAACAGAAGCCCCCACU